GAUGAAGAACGUAGCGAAAUGCGAUACUUGGUGUGAAUUGCAGAAUCCCGUGAACCAUCGAGUCUUUGAACGCAAGUUGCGCCCGAAGCCAUCAGGUUGAGGGCACGUCUGCCUGGGCGUCACAUAUCGUUGCCCAAUGCCUAUUGCAGUGCAAUAGGAAUUUCUAGGGCGAAUGAUGGCUUCCCGUGAGCGUUGUUGCCUCGCGGUUGGUUGAAAAUCGAGUCCUUGGUAGGGUGUGCCAUGGUAGAUGGUGGUCGAGUUAGAACGAUACCGAUCAUGUGCAUGCUCCCCAAAAUAUGGCCUCUAUGACCCACACGCGUCUUUUGACGCUCAUGACGAGACCUCAGGUCAGGCGGGGCUACCCGCUGAAUUUAAGCAUAUCAAUGAGCGGAGGA
Molecule: unclassified non-coding RNA, 395 nt
Filed under: soil metagenome
Description: partial contains 5.8S ribosomal RNA, internal transcribed spacer 2, and large subunit ribosomal RNA
Rfam family: 5.8S ribosomal RNA (bases 1-122)
Source: RNAcentral